Molecule: ribosomal RNA, 299 nt
Filed under: uncultured soil bacterium
Lineage: Bacteria
Description: partial 16S ribosomal RNA
Rfam family: Bacterial small subunit ribosomal RNA
Source: RNAcentral
AGAUUGAACGCUGGCGGCAUGCCUUACACAUGCAAGUCGAACGGCAGCACGGGUGCUUGCACCUGGUGGCGAGUGGCGAACGGGUGAGUAAUAUAUCGGAACGUACCCUAGAGUGGGGGAUAACGCAGCGAAAGUUGCGCUAAUACCGCAUACGAUCUACGGAUGAAAGUGGGGGAUCGCAAGACCUCAUGCUCAUGGAGCGGCCGAUAUCUGAUUAGCUAGUUGGUGGGGUAAAAGCCUACCAAGGCAUCGAUCAGUAGCUGGUCUGAGAGGACGACCAGCCACACUGGACUGAGACA